RNAcentral lists this small RNA (723 nucleotides) under Pan troglodytes (chimpanzee). Its description in RNAcentral is "processed transcript". The record is from RNAcentral. Lineage: Eukaryota; Metazoa; Chordata; Mammalia; Primates; Hominidae.
CCGUUUUUUUAAUUUCCUUUUUUGAGGUGGGAAAACUGUGAAACCCACCUUGAUUCGUCCCCUCUCCCCCCCUCCCCACCUUCCCUCGCCCUAAUCCCCCAACAAGGAAGGAAGGAGCAGUUGGUUCAAUCUCUGGUAAUCUAUGCCAGCAAUUAUGACAAUGUUAGCAGACCAUGCAGCUCGUCAGCUGCUUGAUUUCAGCCAAAAACUGGAUAUCAACUUAUUAGAUAAUGUGGUGAAUUGCUUAUACCAUGGAGAAGGAGCCCAGCAAAGAAUGGCUCAAGAAGUACUGACACAUUUAAAGGAGCAUCCUGAUGCUUGGACAAGAGUCGACACAAUUUUGGAAUUUUCUCAGAAUAUGAAUACGAAAGUAAGCAAGUGGUGGUUUUAAAAUCUGUUAUUUCUUUUCUUCCAGUCAUAAACUUUGAGGAAGGUAUCUCAUUUUUAGUAUUAGCAUUUGUUAUCUCAAAUUAUUUUAUAUUGUUAAUUUGUUUCAAAAUUUAGUCUUAAGCAUAUAAUUAAUUCUUGCAAAUAGUCCUAAGAAUUAUGAAUGAAGUUUUGUAAUGGGACUAGUAUGCAAGGUGGCUUUUUUGGUUGUCUGAUUUUGUUUUUUUCUUUUUAGAAUAUGUAUACAGGUCUAAGUAGCAUAAAUUCUGAAUGUUAUUCAGAGAUGAAACAUAACAUUAAGGAAUUAUUUUGGGCAAGUAAUCAAUAUAAUACAGG